This 986-nucleotide ribosomal RNA is filed under the name Cellulosimicrobium sp. BE282. RNAcentral's name for it is "bacterial SSU rRNA". It matches the Rfam family "Bacterial small subunit ribosomal RNA", at positions 401 to 1397 of the family's 1533-position model. Lineage: Bacteria; Bacillati; Actinomycetota; Actinomycetes; Micrococcales; Promicromonosporaceae. The record is from RNAcentral.
GUGAGGGAUGAAGGCCUUCGGGUUGUAAACCUCUUUCAGCAGGGAAGAAGCGCAAGUGACGGUACCUGCAGAAGAAGCGCCGGCUAACUACGUGCCAGCAGCCGCGGUAAUACGUAGGGCGCAAGCGUUGUCCGGAAUUAUUGGGCGUAAAGAGCUCGUAGGCGGUUUGUCGCGUCUGGUGUGAAAACUCGAGGCUCAACCUCGAGCUUGCAUCGGGUACGGGCAGACUAGAGUGCGGUAGGGGAGACUGGAAUUCCUGGUGUAGCGGUGGAAUGCGCAGAUAUCAGGAGGAACACCGAUGGCGAAGGCAGGUCUCUGGGCCGCAACUGACGCUGAGGAGCGAAAGCAUGGGGAGCGAACAGGAUUAGAUACCCUGGUAGUCCAUGCCGUAAACGUUGGGCACUAGGUGUGGGGCUCAUUCCACGAGUUCCGUGCCGCAGCAAACGCAUUAAGUGCCCCGCCUGGGGAGUACGGCCGCAAGGCUAAAACUCAAAGGAAUUGACGGGGGCCCGCACAAGCGGCGGAGCAUGCGGAUUAAUUCGAUGCAACGCGAAGAACCUUACCAAGGCUUGACAUGCACGGGAAGCCACCAGAGAUGGUGGUCUCUUUGGACACUCGUGCACAGGUGGUGCAUGGUUGUCGUCAGCUCGUGUCGUGAGAUGUUGGGUUAAGUCCCGCAACGAGCGCAACCCUCGUCCCAUGUUGCCAGCGGGUUAUGCCGGGGACUCAUGGGAGACUGCCGGGGUCAACUCGGAGGAAGGUGGGGAUGACGUCAAAUCAUCAUGCCCCUUAUGUCUUGGGCUUCACGCAUGCUACAAUGGCCGGUACAAAGGGCUGCGAUACCGUAAGGUGGAGCGAAUCCCAAAAAGCCGGUCUCAGUUCGGAUUGGGGUCUGCAACUCGACCCCAUGAAGUCGGAGUCGCUAGUAAUCGCAGAUCAGCAACGCUGCGGUGAAUACGUUCCCGGGCCUUGUACACACCGCCCGU